RNAcentral lists this unclassified non-coding RNA (253 nucleotides) under uncultured Legionellaceae bacterium. RNAcentral describes it as "contains 16S-23S intergenic spacer region". It matches the Rfam family "Bacterial small subunit ribosomal RNA", at positions 524 to 776 of the family's 1533-position model. The record is from RNAcentral. Lineage: Bacteria; Pseudomonadati; Pseudomonadota; Gammaproteobacteria; Legionellales; Legionellaceae.
UACGGAGGGUGCGAGCGUUAAUCGGAAUUACUGGGCGUAAAGGGUGCGUAGGUGGUUUAUUAAGUUAUCUGUGAAAUUCCUGGGCUCAACCUGGGGUGGUCAGAUAAGACUGGUAGACUCGAGUAUGGGAGAGGGUAGUGGAAUUUCCGGUGUAGCGGUGAAAUGCGUAGAGAUCGGAAGGAACACCAGUGGCGAAGGCGGCUACCUGGCCUAAUACUGACACUGAGGCACGAAAGCGUGGGGAGCAAACAGG